RNAcentral lists this long non-coding RNA (357 nucleotides) under Taeniopygia guttata (zebra finch). Its description in RNAcentral is "lncRNA (ENSTGUG00000024225.1)". Lineage: Eukaryota; Metazoa; Chordata; Aves; Passeriformes; Estrildidae. The record is from RNAcentral.
AUGCGAAGGGAAAUAUAUCUAUUUCUUUUAGGUUUUAUAUUUAUUUUUUCUGGAAUUAACCGAGGAGGGUUGGAGCUUUCCAGAAUUCCCGGGAAGUUCAGCGUGGCUCCGUCGGGAGAGGAGCAGGAAUUCUGUGCAGCCACCGUGAAUGUUUCUCAGCUAAAUCAAACUGACAAAUCAGCAGAUGCUGAGGAGCUCACAGCAAAUGGACUGCGUUUCUUUUUUCAUAUGGAGAAGGAGGGUCCAGAUGUUCCAGAUGUGCUGCCAGAAAAACAUCCUGAGUGCCCCACAGCCACCGAUGCCCACACCAGGAGUUGUAGGGGACACAGGAUCCUCACUGCUCCAGGGGACAUCUGA